This is a long non-coding RNA of Pelmatolapia mariae (spotted tilapia), 2264 nucleotides long. RefSeq lists it as uncharacterized. The record is from RefSeq and is a predicted model, not a curated record. Lineage: Eukaryota; Metazoa; Chordata; Actinopteri; Cichliformes; Cichlidae. The transcript is spliced from 3 exons.
GAGUCUUUAGUGCACCGUGAACAGCAGUCACCUCAGAGCAAGAGAGUCCUCGUGGCUGUCUGGGUUCUCUCCAGGAGCUCUGGCUUCAUCCCACAGUCCAGAGAAAUGAUAUAAGUGAUAAGAUAAUAUAACCAAAAAAAAAAAAAACAGUUUAGAACAAGUGUGAGCCUCCUUUACAACUUUAUUCACAUCCUUUAAAUGUAAGAGCUGCUGGCACGUCUGGUGAGGGUGUGCCCACACCUAAUCUAAACCACAGAGCUUUAGUCCCUCUCAUACUUGGUUGAGUAUUGACAUCAGCUGCACCGGUGCAUGCAACGUGAGGGCACUAAUGGACAGGGAGGAAAUAAUACUUGAAUUCAUUUUGAACAAAGACGUCAUGCCAAAUAUUUUUUGAUAGCUGUUUCAAUUAUGAAUACACAGACUUUGUGAUUGCUUUUUUCCUGUCAACAUGUAUUGUUCACAAAUAACCACGGGCCACAACUGAAUCAGAUAGUUCCAUCAUUUCUCUUCAUCUGCAUUUUCGAUCUGAAAGUAGAAACAACUAUAACGAGGAAAAAUUGAAUUUUUAUAUUUAUGAACGAGGACUGUGUGGAGGAGAGCCGAGUCAGGAAACAGGUUGUUCACCUGACCGACAAGCUGGAGUCAGAACCUGUGAUUUAUCCUCCCUGACUAUUGAGUGAUGUUAUAUGCUGAUGUUAUUUUCCUGUUUUGAGCCAAACCAGAUUUCUCUAUAGGAACUCUGUGUUAAAGGGUCAAUGCACCAAAUUGGGUUUUGAUUUCUCAUGCAAGGAAAGACACAAACUGCUCAGAGGGAUUAGUAAUGAGCACAAGUUAAAUGAGCUCAUUGCACUACGUUGGCUUUAUCAGCCCUGCACAGAACAGAUCGGUCUUAGACUCUUUGAUUCUCUUAAAUAAGUAGAAUCUGAAACUGAAGGUUUUAGAUUAAAUCUGAUUCCUAAAUCAAGAAGUAAAUCUUAAAGAACAACCUAGGUUUGUAAUUUGGAACAAAGUUGCGUUAACUAAAACUAUCUUGAACUGUGGAAGGUUAAGUGUGACCUUCUUAGCUGCAAACCUUGAACUGGUUUAGUAGCUUUUAUAUCUGUCUUACUGUGACAUAAGUGCUGCAAAAGGGAUUUAUCUCUCUCCCUCUGUCUAUCUCUCAGUCCGUCUCUCUAAAAUAUUCAUUUUACUUUAUUUUCUCUAUAUAUGAUGUAGGUUUGAAUUUUCCCUGCUAAAUUGUGACGGUCUGGGAGUCUCCUACGUUCGACCUGCCUCGUGCCAAUUUAUGGGCGUCAUCAGGCCGGAAGGUGUUUCCCGUGUUGAAGCCGCCACACAUGUCUUCCGUCUAGAUUGGCCGCUACUUAACUGUUUGACUGAGCUUCGGUCAACGCUGGAUCAUUGAGUUACCAAGAACUUGGAGAGGAGUGUGUCACAGGAGCGAAGUGUUUGUAAAUGUCGAGUGUUGGAGUUGUUUUCCUGUCACACCUGGACCACCAGCACAGUCCUGCAGGAUGGGAAAGUCCUGCAUUUGGGCCCCGUUCUCGCCACGCACCUUAACAUAAAUAAUAAACACUUUGAUUGAGAAACUGCAUUUUGUGUUUACUUUUGUAGGGUUGCCUACCGCUGCAGGAGGCUGCAUCAUGAAACCAACAUGAUGAACUGCCAGUGGGAGAAGCACUACCCUAUAGACCUCUGUAAUCCAAGUAAAAGUAGCAGUACAGCUAUAUACAAGUUAAUACGAAGGCACAGAAUCAACAAGAGCUAUGAACUAAUCUUAGAGCCGGGGCUACACUGGUGCGAGUCAUACAAGGAUCCAGCGAUGAGUAGCUUCCUUUCCUCAACUUAAGUAGUGGCAGGGAUAAUGAGGCACAGGUGUUCACUCUCCAUAGGUGCGUGGGGCGAGGGCAGGAACCACCAUGACUUCCGUCCUGGCGAGACAGAGAGCGCGAGAGAGAAAAAUAAUGACGCUGCUGAUCAUCUUCAUGCUGGUCCACCGGGCCGUGACAUUCAGUAACAUGAAUAUGGAAGUGUAAAGAGUGUGCAGCACAAGAGACUGCAAGAUCUCAGUUAUUGAAGCACUACAGGUUAAACCAUGGUCACUUUGGCCGCAGACACGCUUAUCCAUGCACAUAUUUAAAUUGUCCAUGUAGUCACCAAUGUAGAUCACAUGUUGAUCAGACAUUGCAGAGAUCAGUAGAUUCCUGGUGUGAUUGAAGACAAGCUUUUCAUUGAUGAUUUAAAAAGAGGGUGAUGAGCUAUUAUUA